RNAcentral lists this ribosomal RNA (293 nucleotides) under Candidatus Tremblayella endosymbiont of Rhizoecus sp. RNAcentral's name for it is "Candidatus Tremblaya endosymbiont of Rhizoecus sp. partial 16S ribosomal RNA". It matches the Rfam family "Bacterial small subunit ribosomal RNA", at positions 505 to 796 of the family's 1533-position model. The record is from RNAcentral. Lineage: Bacteria; Pseudomonadati; Pseudomonadota; Betaproteobacteria.
GUGCCAGCAGCCGCGGUAAUACGGAGGGUGCGAGCGUUAAUCGGAAUUACUGGGCGUAAAGCGUACGUAGGUGGUUUGUUAAGUUAAGUGUGAAAUCCCUGGGCUUAACCUAGGAACUGCAUUUAAAACUGACAAGCUAGAGUCUCGUAGAGGGGGGAUAGAAUUCCAGGUGUAGCGGUGAAAUGCGUAGAGAUCUGGAGGAAUACCGAAGGCGAAGGCAACCCCCUGGGCCAUCACUGGCACUGAGGCACGAAAGCGUGGGGAGCAAACAGGAUUAGAUACCCCAGUAGUCC